Molecule: ribosomal RNA, 578 nt
Filed under: uncultured bacterium
Lineage: Bacteria
Description: bacterial SSU rRNA
Rfam family: Bacterial small subunit ribosomal RNA
Source: RNAcentral
CCUACGGGAGGCAGCAGUGAGGAAUAUUGGGCAAUGGGCGCAAGCCUGACCCAGCCAUGCCGCGUGAAGGAUGAAUGCCCUAUGGGUUGUAAACUUCUUUUGUACGGGACGAAACUCUUGGUCGUGACCAGGACUGACUGUACCGUACGAAUAAGUAUCGGCUAACUCCGUGCCAGCAGCCGCGGUAAUACGGAGGAUGCAAGCGUUAUCCGGAUUCAUUGGGUUUAAAGGGUGCGUAGGCGGAAUAAUAAGUCAGUGGUGAAAGCCUGCGGCUUAACCGUAGAAUUGCCAUUGAUACUGUUAUUCUUGAGUAUAGUUGAGGUGGGCGGAAUGUGUAGUGUAGCGGUGAAAUGCUUAGAUAUCACACAGAACACCAAUUGCGAAGGCAGCUCACUAAACUGUAACUGACGCUGAGGCACGAAAGCGUGGGGAUCAAACAGGAUUAGAUACCCUGGUAGUCCACGCCGUAAACGAUGAUUACUCGUUGUGUGCGAUAUACUGUACGCGACUGAGCGAAAGCAUUAAGUAAUCCACCUGGGUAGUACGGCCGCAAGGUUGAAACUCAAAGGAAUUGACGG